RNAcentral lists this ribosomal RNA (647 nucleotides) under Mesobacillus thioparans. Its description in RNAcentral is "bacterial SSU rRNA". It matches the Rfam family "Bacterial small subunit ribosomal RNA", at positions 11 to 638 of the family's 1533-position model. Lineage: Bacteria; Bacillati; Bacillota; Bacilli; Caryophanales; Bacillaceae. The record is from RNAcentral.
GCCUAUUCAUCAUGGCUCAGGACGAACGCUGGCGGCGUGCCUAAUACAUGCAAGUCGAGCGGAUCUUCAUUAGCUUGCUUUUGAAGAUCAGCGGCGGACGGGUGAGUAACACGUGGGCAACCUGCCUGUAAGACUGGGAUAACUUCGGGAAACCGGAGCUAAUACCGGAUAAUCCUUUCCCUCACAUGAGGGAAAGCUGAAAGACGGUUUCGGCUGUCACUUACAGAUGGGCCCGCGGCGCAUUAGCUAGUUGGUGAGGUAACGGCUCACCAAGGCAACGAUGCGUAGCCGACCUGAGAGGGUGAUCGGCCACACUGGGACUGAGACACGGCCCAGACUCCUACGGGAGGCAGCAGUAGGGAAUCUUCCGCAAUGGACGAAAGUCUGACGGAGCAACGCCGCGUGAACGAUGAAGGCUUUCGGGUCGUAAAGUUCUGUUGUCAGGGAAGAACAAGUACCGGAGUAACUGCCGGUACCUUGACGGUACCUGACCAGAAAGCCACGGCUAACUACGUGCCAGCAGCCGCGGUAAUACGUAGGUGGCAAGCGUUGUCCGGAAUUAUUGGGCGUAAAGCGCGCGCAGGCGGUUCCUUAAGUCUGAUGUGAAAGCCCCCGGCUCAACCGGGGAGGGUCAUUGGAAACUGGGG